GUUUUCAGGAUCGUAAAACUCUCGUUGUUAGGGAAGAACAAGUACCGUUCGAAUAGGGCGGUACCUUGACGGUACCUAACCAGAAAGCCACGGCUAACUACGUGCCAGCAGCCGCGGUAAUACGUAGGUGGCAAGCGUUGUCCGGAAUUAUUGGGCGUAAAGCGCGCGCAGGCGGUUUCUUAAGUCUGAUGUGAAAGCCCCCGGCUCAACCGGGGAGGGUCAUUGGAAACUGGGGAACUUGAGUGCAGAAGAGGAGAGUGGAAUUCCACGUGUAGCGGUGAAAUGCGUAGAGAUGUGGAGGAACACCAGUGGCGAAGGCGACUCUCUGGUCUGUAACUGACGCUGAGGCGCGAAAGCGUGGGGAGCGAACAGGAUUAGAUACCCUGGUAGUCCACGCCGUAAACGAUGAGUGCUAAGUGUUAGAGGGUUUCCGCCCUUUAGUGCUGCAGCAAACGCAUUAAGCACUCCGCCUGGGGAGUACGGUCGCAAGACUGAAACUCAAAGGAAUUGACGGGGGCCCGCACAAGCGGUGGAGCAUGUGGUUUAAUUCGAAGCAACGCGAAGAACCUUACCAGGUCUUGACAUCCUCUGACAACCCUAGAGAUAGGGCUUCCCCUUCGGGGGCAGAGUGACAGGUGGUGCAUGGUUGUCGUCAGCUCGUGUCGUGAGAUGUUGGGUUAAGUCCCGCAACGAGCGCAACCCUUGAUCUUAGUUGCCAGCAUUCAGUUGGGCACUCUAAGGUGACUGCCGGUGACAAACCGGAGAGGGUGGGGAUGACGUCAAUCAUCAUGCCCCUUAUGACCUGGCUACACACGUGCUACAUGGCAGA
RNAcentral lists this ribosomal RNA (829 nucleotides) under Bacillus paralicheniformis. Its description in RNAcentral is "bacterial SSU rRNA". It matches the Rfam family "Bacterial small subunit ribosomal RNA", at positions 413 to 1237 of the family's 1533-position model. The record is from RNAcentral. Lineage: Bacteria; Bacillati; Bacillota; Bacilli; Caryophanales; Bacillaceae.